Molecule: non-coding RNA, 86 nt
Organism: Otolemur garnettii (small-eared galago)
Lineage: Eukaryota; Metazoa; Chordata; Mammalia; Primates; Galagidae
Source: Rfam
CUGUGUGCAGUACCCUAUCCAGAAUGGUACCGAUUACGUAGAGGAUGUGUAAUCGGGUCAUUUCUGGGUAGAGUAAGGCUCACCAA